This 508-nucleotide ribosomal RNA is filed under the name Fusarium sp. ASR-171. RNAcentral describes it as "eukaryotic LSU rRNA". The stretch from base 181 to 334 matches the Rfam family "5.8S ribosomal RNA". The record is from RNAcentral. Lineage: Eukaryota; Fungi; Ascomycota; Sordariomycetes; Hypocreales; Nectriaceae.
UUUCCGUAGGUGAACCUGCGGAGGGAUCAUUACCGAGUUUACAACUCCCAAACCCCUGUGAACAUACCACUUGUUGCCUCGGCGGAUCAGCCCGCUCCCGGUAAAACGGGACGGCCCGCCAGAGGACCCCUAAACUCUGUUUCUAUAUGUAACUUCUGAGUAAAACCAUAAAUAAAUCAAAACUUUCAACAACGGAUCUCUUGGUUCUGGCAUCGAUGAAGAACGCAGCAAAAUGCGAUAAGUAAUGUGAAUUGCAGAAUUCAGUGAAUCAUCGAAUCUUUGAACGCACAUUGCGCCCGCCAGUAUUCUGGCGGGCAUGCCUGUUCGAGCGUCAUUUCAACCCUCAAGCACAGCUUGGUGUUGGGACUCGCGUUAAUUCGCGUUCCCCAAAUUGAUUGGCGGUCACGUCGAGCUUCCAUAGCGUAGUAGUAAAACCCUCGUUACUGGUAAUCGUCGCGGCCACGCCGUUAAACCCCAACUUUCUGAAUGUUGACCUCGAAUCAGGUGA